This is a non-coding RNA of Kaistia sp. SCN 65-12, 46 nucleotides long. Lineage: Bacteria; Pseudomonadati; Pseudomonadota; Alphaproteobacteria; Hyphomicrobiales; Kaistiaceae. The record is from Rfam.
ACUCUGGCAUUUCUAAAUGCCACAAACAAUAAAAGCUACACUUUGU